RNAcentral lists this long non-coding RNA (1932 nucleotides) under Pelobates cultripes (western spadefoot toad). The record is from RNAcentral. Lineage: Eukaryota; Metazoa; Chordata; Amphibia; Anura; Pelobatidae.
AAAGUUUACUCAAUGAUGAGUCCGUGGCGAACCGUUCGCGAACCGUUCGGCGAACCGUUCGGGACAUCACUAUCUCUAAGGUAUGUUAAGGUGUAGUGAUUUGAUGUUAAGACAUUCUUUUAAAUAUAUGAAAUGUGCUAUGUUCCCUGUUUAGAUUUUGGUCUUUACAGAAAUCAUAGGGACUGGAGAGGCUUCAGUUAUGCAGAAGAGAUCCCCAUUUUCCUGAUUACUCCCACCCCUUGUAAAAUUAUUUCACGGGUAUCUUGUAAUCUGACAGUAAAAUAAAUAUGGAAAAGAAAAGGUUAUUUCUAGAUGUUGUGAGGCUUAAUAAAUAGCUUAGUCUUUCUUGUGGGCUGUAAUAAACCUUUAAUUAUUUCUUCAAAAUAGCUCCAGUGUGGAUGUGAAUUUAAGUAAACAAAGUGAUCAUAAUUGGCACCUUUUAGAAUCUGUGUGUGUUGCUGUUCCCCGUUAUCUGUCAGCACUUUUUACUUGCCAGCAGGGUUUCUAAGACAAACAGAACAGUGGAAUUUUAAUUUAAAGACAUAUGCACAGAAGGGGUGAACGGUGAAGUAAAAAGCACUAAUUGUGACAAUUCAUUAACUAAAUCUAUUUUAUAGUAAUUUUAGCACUAUAUAUAGUCUUACUAUCUGUGUAUGUAUAAACAAAGUAAAUACAAAUUAAUUUAAAACAUUUUUUAACUUAAAGUGACACUACAGGAUCCCAGAUCACUUCAGCUCAUUGAAGUGAUGUUGGUGCACUGUCCCAGUCCCCCAAGCCCUGCAAUUAUAAUUAUUGCAGUUAUUUAUAAACUGUAAUAAUUACCUUGCAGGGUUAACUCCACCUCUAGUGGCUGCACUAGAGGCACUUCCAGAUGGUUAGGUGACUUUUGGUAUACUAACUGAUGCUGGACAGUGUCAUCUAAAAGCCAAUAGGAAAGCAUUGAGCUUUUUAAACUUUCCAGCGCCAUUAGGGCGUGUAGAUCACUACAAUGCUAGGAAAACAGCUCAGCUUUCGUAACAUUAUAGUUUCCCUUUAAUUUACUUUUAACUUGCAAAUUGCAGUCUAUAUCCCUUAACUCUUAACAGUAGUUAAGUUUCAAUGUUUAAAAAAAAGAAAUCAGAACAUGGAGUGAUACAUACUGAAUCCCCCUAUGCACAAACAUAUGUUACUUAUGAUUAUCAUCCACAUAUGUCAUGGUAAAAAUGGAACUUAACUAGACAGCUCAUGUAGCAAGAUGGUGUGAGGAUGACACUGUUCCCUUUCUGUGUUGCUGAUAUUAUGAAGAGCAUUUGGAGUACUAUUUCUGUUAUGACCCUAUUUAUGGGACCUUGAACCAGUUCAAUCCUUUCAGCUGUUGGCAGUAAUAUAUUAUGAAAUGUUGCUGUCCAUGGUUCUGAACUGCCGUGUUUAUAUAUCUAUCACAUAUUAUUUUAGGGAAUACAUUGGGAGUGAGGCUUUUGACAUAUACAUAAUGCAAAAUAAUAUGCUUGAUUUUUAAACUUAUUGUUUUGAAUAACAAUUUUUAACAUUGUAUGAAUUUUCAACAAUGCCACCUGCUUAACAACAAAGGCUGUGAAUAGUAUGUAUAAUGAUUGGAUGUGUAUGAAUUACAUAACCAUUAUUAUUGAGUAUUACUGAAACAUAUAAAAGGAAGCACAAUAUACUGAUUUAAGCUUGAGAAUCUAAUUUAAUAAUAAUAUCAGUGAAAACUGCAUGCCAAUUAAACAUUAUCUCUAUCUUGAAUUAAUGGCCUUAGGGAAAGGGUGGGAUGGACUUAGCAUAUCUGAAACAAAUGGUUUUUAAGCCUACCUUUUUACUGAGACUAGUGCAUAUUGUGAUUCAAUUAUUUCCUUUGUUAAUGUCAUUCCAUUAAGAUAGCAUAUUACAGGGUUUAAGUAAUAAAUCUUCUUCCAUUCAUCAGCUUUUUCAAAU